RNAcentral lists this ribosomal RNA (461 nucleotides) under uncultured bacterium. Its description in RNAcentral is "partial 16S ribosomal RNA". It matches the Rfam family "Bacterial small subunit ribosomal RNA", at positions 338 to 795 of the family's 1533-position model. The record is from RNAcentral.
CCUACGGGUGGCAGCAGUGAGGAAUAUUGGUCAAUGGGCGGAAGCCUGAACCAGCCAAGUAGCGUGCAGGAUGACGGCCCUACGGGUUGUAAACUGCUUUUAUACGGGAAUAACGCGCCUUACGUGUAGGGCUUUGCAUGUACCGUCUGAAUAAGGUCCGGCUACUUCCUUGCCAGCAGCGGCGGUAAUACGGAAGGUCCGGGCGUUAUCCGGAUUUAUGGGGUUUAAGGGGAGCGUAGGUCGCAUGUCACGCGUGCUGUGAAAUGUCCGGGCUCACCCCGGGCCUUGCAGCGCGAACUGGCGUGCUUGAGUCCGCGGAAAGCAGGCGGAAUGCGUCGUGUAGCGGUGAAAUGCUUAGAUAUGACGAAGAACCCCGAUUGCGAAGGCAGCUUGCUGCAGCGGAACUGACGCUGAUGCUCGAAAGCGCGGGUAUCGAACAGGAUUAGAUACCCCGGGUAGUC